CCUACGGGAGGCAGCAGUGCGGAAUAUUGGUCAAUGGGCGCGAGCCUGAACCAGCCAAGUAGCGUGAAGGAUGACUGCCCUACGGGUUGUAAACUUCUUUUAUAAAGGAAUAAAGUGAGGCACGUGUGCCUUUUUGUAUGUACUUUAUGAAUAAGGAUCGGCUAACUCCGUGCCAGCAGCCGCGGUAAUACGGAGGCUCCGAGCGUUCUCCGGAUUUAUUGGUUUUAAAGGGGGCGUAAAUGGGUUGUUAAGUCAGUUGUGAAAGUUUGCGGCUCAACCGUAAAAUUGCAAUGGAUACUGGCAGUCUUGAGGACAGUUGAGGUAGGCGGAAUUCGUGGUGUAGCGGUGAAAUGCUGAGAUAUCACGAAGAACUCCGAUUGCGAAGGCAGCUUACUAAACUGCCACUGACAUUGAUGCUCGAAAGUGUGGGUAUCAAACAGGAUUAGAUACCCCUGUAGUC
RNAcentral lists this ribosomal RNA (460 nucleotides) under uncultured bacterium. RNAcentral describes it as "partial 16S ribosomal RNA". It matches the Rfam family "Bacterial small subunit ribosomal RNA", at positions 338 to 795 of the family's 1533-position model. The record is from RNAcentral.